Molecule: ribosomal RNA, 93 nt
Filed under: uncultured bacterium
Lineage: Bacteria
Description: partial 16S ribosomal RNA
Source: RNAcentral
AUUGUAAACUCCUGUCAUCUGGGAGUAAGCCUGACGGUAAAUAGCCGGCAGGGUUGAUAGUACCAGAAGAGGAAGGGACGGCUAACUUCGUGC